RNAcentral lists this ribosomal RNA (696 nucleotides) under uncultured Fibrobacterota bacterium. RNAcentral's name for it is "bacterial SSU rRNA". It matches the Rfam family "Bacterial small subunit ribosomal RNA", at positions 57 to 867 of the family's 1533-position model. The record is from RNAcentral. Lineage: Bacteria; Pseudomonadati; Fibrobacterota.
GCAAGUCGAACGAGUGGCGUACGGGUGAGUAACACGUGGACAUCUGCCCUUGGUGGGGAAUAACCCCGGGAAACUGGGGAUAAUACCGCAUAGGAAGAGUCCGCGGCCGAUUAGCUAGUUGGCAGGGUAAAAGCCUACCAAGGCGAAGAUCGGUAGCCGGCCUGAGAGGGCACACGGCCACACUGGCACUGAGACACGGGCCAGACUCCUACGGGAGGCAGCAGUGGGGAAUCUUGCACAAUGGGGGAAACCCUGAUGCAGCGACGCCGCGUGAGUGAUGAAGCCCUUCGGGGUGUAAAGCUCUUUCGACAGGAAUGACGGUACCUGGAGAAGAAGCUGCGGCUAACUACGUGCCAGCAGCCGCGGUAAUACGUAGGCAGCAAACGUUGUUCGGAGUUACUGGGCGUAAAGAGUGCGUAGGCGGUCUGCCAAGUCUGGUGUGAAAUCUCCUGGCUUAACUGGGAGGGUGCGCCGGAUACUGGCAGGCUUGAGUGUGGGAGAGGAAAGCAGAAUUCCUGGUGUAGCGGUGAAAUGCGUAGAUAUCAGGAGGAAUACCUGUGGUGAAGACGGCUUUCUGGACCACAACUGACGCUGAGGCACGAAAGCGUGGGGAGCAAACAGGAUUAGAUACCCUGGUAGUCCACGCCCUAAACGAUGCAAACUUGGUGUAGGUGCCGGAGCUAACGCGUUAAGUUG